RNAcentral lists this transfer RNA (27 nucleotides) under Micrurus corallinus (painted coral snake). RNAcentral describes it as "partial tRNA-Leu". The record is from RNAcentral. RNAcentral also lists the same sequence under 8 other names. Lineage: Eukaryota; Metazoa; Chordata; Lepidosauria; Squamata; Elapidae.
CUCUCUACCAAAGGAUAAUAGUAUUCC